RNAcentral lists this ribosomal RNA (253 nucleotides) under uncultured bacterium. RNAcentral's name for it is "partial 16S ribosomal RNA". It matches the Rfam family "Bacterial small subunit ribosomal RNA", at positions 524 to 776 of the family's 1533-position model. The record is from RNAcentral.
UACGAAGGGUGCAAGCGUUACUCGGAAUUACUGGGCGUAAAGCGUGCGUAGGUGGUUUGUUAAGUCUGAUGUGAAAGCCCUGGGCUCAACCUGGGAAUGGCAUUGGAUACUGGCGAGCUAGAGUGCGGUAGAGGGUAGUGGAAUUCCCGGUGUAGCAGUGAAAUGCGUAGAGAUCGGGAGGAACAUCGGUGGCGAAGGCGACUACCUGGCCUGUUCUUGACGCUGAGGCGCGAAAGCUAGGGGAGCAAACGGG